Molecule: long non-coding RNA, 723 nt
Filed under: Pan troglodytes (chimpanzee)
Lineage: Eukaryota; Metazoa; Chordata; Mammalia; Primates; Hominidae
Description: lincRNA
Source: RNAcentral
CAGCACUUGAGCAGCUUUCUUCUGCGUUAGGAAGCCUGGGGAGAGGGGAACUGGCUAAAGGGCAAAAUGUCACUGAGGAACUUCGGAGAAGAUGGGGACAAGGCGUCGGGCGGGGGAGCCAGCGCUCAGGAGCCCAGGCACCAUACUGUCUUUUCGAGGUAUGGUGCUGGGUGCAGAUGCAGUGUGGCUCUGGAUAGCACCUUAUGGACAGUUGUGUCCCCAAGGAAGGAUGAGAAUAGCUACUGAAGUCCUAAACAGCAAGCCUAACUCAAGCCAUUGGCACACAGGCAUUAGACAGAAAGCUGGAAGUUGAAAUGGUGGAGUCCAACUUGCCUGGACCAGCUUAAUGGUUCUGCUCCUGGUAACGUUUUUAUCCAUGGAUGACUUGCUUGGGUAUGGAGAGUCGGCUUGACUACACUGUGUGGAGCAACUUUUAAAGAAGCAAAGGACUCAGAAUUCAUGAUUGAAGAAAUGCAGGCAGACCUGUUAUCCUAAACUAGGGUUUUUAACGACCACAACAAGCAAGCAUGCAGCUUACUGCUUGAAAGGGUCUUGCCUCACCCAAGCUGGAGUGCAGUGGCCUUUGAAGCUUACUACAGCCUCAAACUUCUGGGCUCAAGUGAUCCUCAGCCUCCCAGUGGUCUUUGUAGACUGCCUGAUGGAGUCUCAUGGCACAAGAAGAUUAAAACAAUGUCUCCAAUUUUAAUAAAUUUUUGCAAUCCA